AUGUGGCUGCCAUUCUGUAGCAAAUCUGCACAGGAAAGCAAACAGCGUGUCACCAUAGGAUGGAUCUUAAAUACCUCAAACUUUGGGCCCUCAGAGAUAGAUGCGGGAGAAGGACCAGAGCCAGGAGUAAGGGGUUUUAGAAGCUCCAGGCCUCUUUGUCCUUUCCGGGGCUCUGGGACAGCUCAGACACCUGUGGAUGAUGCAGUCCUACUUUGCCGGUUCCUACAGCCAGGACUGGAUGGAAUGUGGUUACAUCAGCAGCCGACGGCCGGCAAACCUCCCUCUGACAGGUGUUCGGUGGGAGGCAGUCAGUUCUGAAUCGUGGUCUCUUAAUGAUGGCGGACGUGCCUCAGAGCCAGUGAUGCCAAUAAGCCUUUAAAAGAGAACUCCUCAGAGCAGAGCUGCAAUGGCCAACCCGGUCCAGACCCUGUGUGUUUCCUGAGCCUGUCUGCCUGAUGCCUGGCCUCAGCAUGAACCUUUUCUGGGACUGCAGCAUUUGCAAGUCUUCCCCACUUGGAUGUGGCUGUGAGCCUGCACACCUCCUAGCCUUUUGGCUCUGCUUCUGCUUAUCCUGUAUCUGGUAUAGGUGACUUAUCCAGGCCUUUUGCUCCUUUAGGGCCACUAUGCGUAAUAAAGGUACUGCCUUCCUUUACCCCA
This 657-nucleotide long non-coding RNA is filed under the name Vulpes vulpes (red fox). Its description in RNAcentral is "lncRNA (ENSVVUG00000000559.1)". Lineage: Eukaryota; Metazoa; Chordata; Mammalia; Carnivora; Canidae. The record is from RNAcentral.